GCGAGGCGAUGCCAGCAAACAUCGAUCCACUGAGCAAACUGUACAUUAACAAACUCCUCCUCCGCGACCUGAUGACAGGAUGAAAUUUACUCCGAGCAGACAGAAGGCAGUCAGUUUAUUAAAGAGACAGGGUUUUGCUGAUCACAGGCACUUCGCUGGGGAGGAAGAGAAACACCUCGUUUCUACCAUCGGCCCUGGAGUGCCACCCGUUUUGGACCCUUCUCCACCUCCAAAUCGGACGGACACCCUUCUGGAUAGCUCAAGUUCCUGUGCACUGGAAGAAAUGGGAAAGAGACGGAACCCAGCGGAACCCCUUUUUCUGAUCAGGGCAUUUUCAGGUGUUUGGCGGUGAUAGGCAGAUGAAGGCUGGAGCUGUUUGUAUGCAAUGAAAAGGAAUGCCUGGAAGUGGAGAAGAGGCUGUGGAAAGUGCUGUGAAGAGGCUUCAGUGUCUGGAGCAGAUGCAAUGUUCUUGAUUUCCUAAUCAUACCAAGAGAUUGGAAGCAUGCCACGGGCUUGUGCAGUUUCCCCUUCGCAUCUCAAAUUCUUCCACUUCAGUUCCUGUUUUGUUUGAAUCAUUGGAGGACCCUGAAGACAUACUUAUUUUCCUAGGCCUUCAGCUGAGACUAAACUUUUAAAUUUUAAUGUGUUUUUAUCUAUUAUUUGUAUCUUUUCAUGAAUUUUAUACUAUAUUUUGUUUUAAUUCUGUACACUGCCUUGAGAUUUUUAUACAAGGAGGUAUAUAAAUUUAAUAAAUAAAUAAAUAUGUUGUACUUACAUACA
Long non-coding RNA from Hemicordylus capensis (graceful crag lizard), 780 nucleotides. RefSeq lists it as uncharacterized. The transcript has 4 exons. The record is from RefSeq and is a predicted model, not a curated record. Lineage: Eukaryota; Metazoa; Chordata; Lepidosauria; Squamata; Cordylidae.